Molecule: ribosomal RNA, 465 nt
Filed under: uncultured bacterium
Lineage: Bacteria
Description: partial 16S ribosomal RNA
Rfam family: Bacterial small subunit ribosomal RNA
Source: RNAcentral
CUACGGGAUGCUGCAGUGGGGAAUAUUGGACAAUGGGGGAAACCCUGAUCCAGCAAUGCCGCGUGUGUGAAGAAGGCCUGCGGGUUGUAAAGCACUUUCGGUUGGGAGGACUGCUUCUAGCACUAAUAUUGUUGGAAGUUGACGUUACCUUCAGAAGAAGCACCGGCUAACUCCGUGCCAGCAGCCGCGGUAAUACGGAGGGUGCAAGCGUUAAUCGGAAUUACUGGGCGUAAAGCGCGCGUAGGCGGCUAGAUCAGUCGGGUGUGAAAGCCCCGGGCGUAACCUGGGAACUGCAUCCGAUACUGUCUAGCUUGAGUACAGGAGAGGAGAGUGGAAUUCCACAUGUAGCGGUGAAAUGCGUAGAUAUGUGGAGGAACACCAAUGGCGAAGGCAGCUCUCUGGCCUGAUACUGACGCUGAGGUGCGGAAGCGUGGGGAGCAAACAGGAUUAGAUACCCCCGUAGUC